Molecule: long non-coding RNA, 666 nt
Organism: Chlorocebus sabaeus (green monkey)
Lineage: Eukaryota; Metazoa; Chordata; Mammalia; Primates; Cercopithecidae
Source: RefSeq, a predicted model, not a curated record
UGACUAUGAUUGUAGGUUUCCUGCAGCCUCCCUAGCCAUGUGGAAUGAGUCUAAAACUGCUCAGAAAAUGUUCUGGUACCUUUGAUUAGUUCAAAAGGUCUUUUAAUUGGAAGUUGGAAUGGGACUCAACAAGCUUCUCAGCAACAGUGUGACCUAAAUGACGAUUCCUUUAUAAAGGCAGAUUUGGCCAGGAGGAGCUUGUGGCAAAUCUUCCCACAGCUUUCCUCCAACUGCUCAACAGCAAAGAUAUUUAUGUCACUGCGAAUCUCUACACCUGUGGUCAGUGAUUUCAUGCUGCUCAUGGCUCAUUUCAUGCUGAGCAGCAGGAAAGGCCGUUGUGCAGCUUUCCCAGGCUGAAUAUGAACUCAUCUUUUCUGGAGCUGUCCCACACUUUCCCUAGACUGCGGAGAAGGGCAGAAAACAUGCUCUGUGGUACUAUUGCUUGGACUUUUUCUUCAGGCUGCUUCACGGAUAAGGUUGGGCCUGCUGCAGGUUAAGUUGGUGGAAUGGAAAGGAUAAGGUACUCAUGUGAUAUGUCUCUCAGCCUACCUUGUAAACACAGAGGCCUUACACAAAUGCUGUUCCAGUUGAUAUUAUUAUCAGGAAUAAAGGAACUUAGUUGGCUCCUGGAUAAAAUAUGACUUUCAUGUAUGCUGUUGCUUUUCA